Felis catus (domestic cat) is the source of this 1074-nucleotide long non-coding RNA. RefSeq lists it as uncharacterized. The record is from RefSeq and is a predicted model, not a curated record. The transcript is spliced from 2 exons. Lineage: Eukaryota; Metazoa; Chordata; Mammalia; Carnivora; Felidae.
ACCCGGCGACUGCGCAGCACCCUCUGGCGGCCGCGGGGGGCUCGGCCGUCCUCUACCCUCACGCUCCGGAGCAGGAGGGCCUGGUGGGGCGGGGGUGGACAGAGCCGCUCCCCCAAGUCCGAGAAACACAGGGGCAACUUUGGAGGAAGGGAAUUAAAAGCGUCCGAGGCCGAGGUCCCCUUUUUGGGGUUCUGCGGCUGGCACUGAGGCCAAAAGCCCGGGGAAGUGGCCCGCGUAAAAGAAAAACCCUUGCUCCACUUUUCAAUGGCUGCCUGGAAUUCUACCAAUACAGGAUCUCCCCUUUACCUGCGGGCUUUGAUUCUUUUGAAAAUUCAAAUCCCUCAAGGAAGGGUGAUCCUUCAACGCAAGGGCAGAUGGCAGGCUACGUCAAAAAAUGACCAAUGUCAUCACCAGAAACACUUGGUUACACCAUAAUAGGUACAUUUUGUACGGUGAUGACACUUAGUAAGUAUCCUUUAAUCUUUCCAUCUGUUGUUUGUUGCGGGGCACCCUUUUGUUCUCUGAACGGCAGUGUUAUUUUAAGCCGCCCCUCCUCCGCAGUGGCCAUUCCCCCCAUUUCAGUUGGCUCCAAGGUGCAUCCUAAGCAUGUCUCCCCUCUUUCCACUCCUCACUCGCACAGCUGCUGCUUGAGUUGAGGCUCCCACAGCUCACUGUCUGGAUCCCUGCUACCCAGAUGGGAGCGGCUGGAGUCUGUCCACGGUGGACGGGGCUCUCUCAAGGCCUCUCUCUGCCCACACGCAGCACCCCCCACUGUAUCUGUGGAGGGGAGAGGCGGCCACCUCUGCCUGGUUGGGGAUUGUCUUCCCAAAGUCAGCUGACAGCUUCUUCACCUACCAUCUUGUCAUUUCUCUCCAGAAGAGUACUGCCAUUCCUCUCCACCUGGUGGCAGUGAGAAGAGGCUGGAGAUGAGCGGCGCCAUUCUCUGCCACGGCUCCCGGGUGGCCACGCGACCACGAGGGUCAACAGCUGACACACUCACCCCACUCUGCCCCCAUACAACCAUGCGUUUCUCACUUUCGGUACAGUAUUCAAUAAAUCACAUGAGAUACUCAA